AGAGUUUGAUCAUGGCUCAGGAUGAACGCUAGCUACAGGCUUAACACAUGCAAGUCGAGGGGAAACGACAUCGAAAGCUUGCUUUUGAUGGGCGUCGACCGGCGCACGGGUGAGUAACGCGUAUCCAACCUGCCCAUCACUUGGGGAUAACCUUGCGAAAGUAAGACUAAUACCCAAUGACGUCUCUAGAAGACAUCUGAAAGAGAUUAAAGAUUUAUCGGUGAUGGAUGGGGAUGCGUCUGAUUAGCUUGUUGGCGGGGUAACGGCCACCAAGGCGACGAUCAGUAGGGGUUCUGAGAGGAAGGUCCCCCANAGUUGGAACUGAGACACGGUCCAAACUCCGUACGGGAGGCCA
RNAcentral lists this ribosomal RNA (355 nucleotides) under uncultured bacterium. Its description in RNAcentral is "bacterial SSU rRNA". It matches the Rfam family "Bacterial small subunit ribosomal RNA", at positions 8 to 351 of the family's 1533-position model. The record is from RNAcentral.